RNAcentral lists this microRNA precursor (79 nucleotides) under Trichobilharzia regenti. RNAcentral describes it as "mir-3492 microRNA precursor family". It matches the Rfam family "mir-3492 microRNA precursor family". The record is from Rfam by way of RNAcentral. Lineage: Eukaryota; Metazoa; Platyhelminthes; Trematoda; Strigeidida; Schistosomatidae.
AACCUUCCUUUAUCCGUGCUGAGAUUUCAUCAGAGAUAAACCUGCUUGGGCUGGUGAAACUUCCGAAAUAAGUAAAGUG